Molecule: unclassified non-coding RNA, 346 nt
Filed under: soil metagenome
Description: partial contains 5.8S ribosomal RNA, internal transcribed spacer 2, and large subunit ribosomal RNA
Rfam family: 5.8S ribosomal RNA (bases 1-120)
Source: RNAcentral
GAUGAAGAACGUAGCGAAAGUGCGAAACGUAAUGUGAAUUGCAAAUUCAGUGAAUCAUCGAGUCUUUGAACGCACAUUGCGCCCCCUGGUAUUCCGGGGGGCAUGCCUGUCCGAGCGUCAUUUCUGCCCUCAAGCACGGCUUGUGUGUUGGGCCCCGUCCUCCGAUUCCGGGGGACGGGCCCGAAAGGCAGCGGCGGCACCGAGUCCGGUCCUCGAGCGUAUGGGGCUUUGUCACCCGCUCUGUAGGCCCGGCCGGCGCUUGCCGAUCAACCCAAAUUUUUAUCCAGGUUGACCUCGGAUCAGGUAGGGAUACCCGCUGAACUUAAGCAUAUCAAUAAGCGGAGGA